UCCCUGGCAGUCCAGUGGUUAAGACUCUGCACUUCCAAUGCAUUGGGUACAGGUUCUAUCCCUGGUCAGGGAA
Molecule: non-coding RNA, 73 nt
Organism: Bos taurus (domestic cattle)
Lineage: Eukaryota; Metazoa; Chordata; Mammalia; Artiodactyla; Bovidae
Source: Rfam